Molecule: small RNA, 748 nt
Filed under: Pongo abelii (Sumatran orangutan)
Lineage: Eukaryota; Metazoa; Chordata; Mammalia; Primates; Hominidae
Description: retained intron
Source: RNAcentral
CUGGACGACCUGCUGCAGCGAUUGCACCACAAUCCUCGGCGCAUCUUUCACCUGCCCCCGCAGGAGGACACCUAUGUGGAGGUGGAUCUGGAGCAUGAGUGGACAAUCCCCAGCCACAUGCCCUUCUCCAAGGCCCACUGGACACCUUUUGAAGGGCAGAAGGUGAAGGGCACCGUCCGCCGUGUGGUCCUGCGAGGGGAAGUUGCCUAUAUUGAUGGGCAGGUUCUGGUACCCCCGGGCUAUGGACAGGAUAUACGGAAGUGGCCACAGGGGGUUGUUCCUCAGCUACCACCCUCAGCCCCUGCCACCAGUGAGAUGACCACGGUAUCCACACUACUGGGCAAGGGGGCUGGGAGGUGUUAGUCUCAGGGCAGGUUGAACAGCUUGAACAUUUUCAUUGGUGGUUCAGGAACAGUUGGGGUUUUCUUGAGGGACUGAAUUUGAAGUGGGGUUGGGUCAAUUAUUUUUUUUAAAUGCUGGGCCAGGCCAGGUGGGGUGGCUCACGCUUGUAAUCCCAGCACUUUGGGAGGCCAAGGCAGGCAGAUCACCUGAGGUCAGGAGUUUAAGACCAGCCUAGCCAACAUGGUGAAACCCCAUCUCUACUAAAAAUAAAAAAAUUAGCCAGGCGUGGUGGUGCACGUCUGUAAUCCCAGCUACUUGGGAGGCUGAGGCAGGAGAAUUGCUUGAACCCAGAAGGUCACGCCACUGCACUCCAGCCUGAGCGACAGAGCAAGACUCCAUCUCAAAA